CAUGUUCUAAAGCAUUGAGGCUUUGUUGAGUGUGUCUUUGCAGUCUGUUCCAGUCUCAGAAUAGUUAUUUUCCACCGUAUGUGUUGGUUUAUCGACAAUUUUUAUCGCGCUGCCUUUGGCUGCUGAGAGCCAUCAAUCACUAAAAUAAUUUUGCUCAUUUAGCAAGUGCUAAAGAAGGUCAGAAUGAACGAAUGACCUUUUUAUGCUGGAAAUUACAUAUGUUGACAAAUUUAAGUCAUCACUUGGACAGGUAACAGAUGUUUGUUGAUUGUUGCUGCACUGACAACAGAUAAAACUGUUCCGUUUUGAAAUAUAGAUCAUGCUAUUACUGCGAACAACCCAGAAUCAUUUUUUAAUGUUUUCUUAAUUGAUGAGUGCACAGAGUGAUUUAGUAGCUAGCUCAACUUUUGAGAAACUCUCUCUGACCCUAUUUCCUUUCAGAAAUUGGUGUCUCAUGUCAAGCACACACAAGAAAAGGCGAUGCAGCAUUUGCAGCACAUCACUUCACGGUAUAUGUGAAAGCAUACUUCGGCAAAUAAGGAAUACAUCAGAAGGACACCACGGGACGCUUCAGAGUCUGGAUGUACCAUAUCUGAUGGAAAUCUUGCACCACAGAGGCUGCUCGAUGGAUGGAUGGAUUACAACCCUGAUGAAGCAGCGAAGUUCAAGGGAACAACAGGUGCACGACACUAUCAUUGCUGGACAAAAUUGAGGUUGAACAGAAAGAUGCCGCACAGGGAACGAGCAUGUCACUCAAACUGUUUGACCGGAAAACCUGGAGCAAGAGGAAACUUCCGCACAAGACUACAAAAAAAAGUAGACUUAGAAGUCCAUGUAUACGGGAGAGCACCUUUGUUGGAAGAGGCUUGUCGGCCGACACUGUUAUUUCGUACUUAAAUAUAUUUUAUCUAUUUAUAUUACUACACAACAAAAUCAGCCAAUUUCAGGUAUGCAAAGGAAGGACAAGUGCACACCACGCAUUCCAUCACUUAUAUUGUGCCCUGGUUCAUUUCAAAACCUGCACCGGUUGUCAUGCCUCCCUACAUGCCAUCACACACAUUGCGUUCUGUUGUUGACAGUAAGAUUUUAUGAAUCUUGUUUGCUCAUCAUGUUGUAGAGGCAGUGAAACCUCCCUAGUACCGACGUUCGUGGGACCAACGCUUUAGUUCGCAAGACAGAGGUGUCCGCAUGUGAGAGAUACAAGACAUUAGGGCCGUUACUUUACGCCAGGAAUUGUACAUAUAAUAAUAGCCUGAAGUGUUGAAAAUAUCUCGAAGAAGUUUUGAAGAAAUCUCGUAAAUAAACAUGUGCUCUAAAUUCAUGCGAAAUCGAGUGGAAAAACUUCCAAUACGUUAAAUGCUCAAUUCGGGGAGAAAUUGGGCUCAGCUACUCAAAAACUAGCUCUACUGGUUCGGUACAAAUGGUUAUGUAAUUGCUGCCAAACAAGUUAGUGUGCAUUCCUACAGAUAUCUCAGUGAGGGCAAUUUGACGGGUAAAAAUCGGAUUUCACCGUAAAAAGGACACCUUGAAUUGGCGGAAGAAUCCGGUUAAACCCUGAAACUAAUAAUUAUGCACCUUAUGCAAAAAGUUCAAACUAGCCUUGUUAGAGAGAGGCGAUAAAGUACCCAAAAUGUGACUGCCUUCUCCAUGAGGGAUAUACCAUGGUCUGUCGAUACCAAGUCACCAUGUUAACAGUAAUUGUUUUGCUGUAGCUGCUUGUGCCAAAAUCACUUGCCAUAUGUAUUUUUCUGUCAUGUGCCAUUUAUAAUUGCUGAACAAACUGGCAUGUAUGAGUCUCACUGAUUGCAUUUCGCAUUGUACUGUGGAUUCCAAAAAUUAAUUUUGAACCUGCGAUAUCAUGAGUACCCGUGUAAGCUGCCUGUGCCUGCUUCCUGCCUUCACCAACAGAGGGGCACGGAUCACUGCAACGUAUCAUGUCAAUAUUUCUCGGUCCACAUUCAGUUUCUGAGGGUCGAAAAGACUAGGUGCACUUGUGGAGCCUUCAUUUACCCUGUUUGGCCGGACUCCAGCAUUCGCAGCCAAAACGUCUGGGUGGCGGGCAACAGACAUGUACAAUACAAUAUGGGAUACAAACAAAACGCAAUCAUUGUUUGUAUCUUGGCUGAAGUACAUGGUGUACUGUAUUCCAAUUGGCAAAUUGUAUGCAUUGCAAUAGCUCGUGUUACAUCAGCCUCUGAGUCUACGGGCACUUCAUGCAACGUAUUCAAAAGCAACGAAGGAUUGUGUGUCCAAUAUUUUCUUUCGUUGAUACUCACUAUGUGUACAAAUUCCAGAUUCACCUUGGGGUUGACAGUUUUGUUCCUGAGAACUUCAUGUGCGUACAGCGGGGCACAAUCAACAACAAGUUAGUCAACAAUUUGAUGCAGCCUUUCUGGACACAAGAUGGAACGGCGACUAGUUGCUUUUCAGGGCAACCGUAGCAGAGAGCAGGCAUUCAUGCGCUCGUCACAGGCAACACCAGAGAAGCUGGACUCCAUUACAUAAAUGGCAUGCCACAUUGAGGGCCAC
Molecule: long non-coding RNA, 2529 nt
Organism: Ornithodoros turicata
Lineage: Eukaryota; Metazoa; Arthropoda; Arachnida; Ixodida; Argasidae
Exons: 5
Source: RefSeq, a predicted model, not a curated record